UGUACAGGAGUAUAGCUCCCCGAAAAGGGGGAAUUUAACCCCUCCAUAAUAUGAUGAACCGGCAUCGGUUUAUUAUUAAAACUGAGGUGGUACAGGAUGAGCAUGCGUCUGAUUAGCUAGUUGGUAGUGUAAUGGACUACCAAGGCAAUGAUCAGUAGGGGAACUGAGAGGUUGAUCCCCCACACUGGCACUGAGAUACGGGCCAGACUCCUACGGGAGGCAGCAGUAGGGAAUAUUGGACCAAUGGGUGAGAGCCUGAUCCAGCCAUGCCGCGUGCAGGAAAGAAGGCCUUCUGGGUUGUAAACUGCUUUUAUCUGGGAUAAAAAGGCCUUGCGGAGGCAAACUGAAGGUACCAGAUGAAUAAGCCACGGCUAACUACGUG
RNAcentral lists this ribosomal RNA (382 nucleotides) under uncultured bacterium. RNAcentral describes it as "bacterial SSU rRNA". It matches the Rfam family "Bacterial small subunit ribosomal RNA", at positions 132 to 507 of the family's 1533-position model. The record is from RNAcentral.